RNAcentral lists this ribosomal RNA (253 nucleotides) under uncultured bacterium. RNAcentral's name for it is "partial 16S ribosomal RNA". It matches the Rfam family "Bacterial small subunit ribosomal RNA", at positions 524 to 776 of the family's 1533-position model. The record is from RNAcentral.
UACGUAGGUGGCGAGCGUUGUCCGGAUUUACUGGGCGUAAAGAGCGCGCAGGCGGCUGGUCAAGUCCGAUGUGAAAGCUCCCGGCUUAACUGGGAAAUUGCAUCGGAAACUGAUCGGCUGGAAGGUGGGAGAGGGUAGCGGAAUUCCCGGUGUAGUGGUGAAAUGCGUAGAUAUCGGGAGGAACACCGGUGGCGAAGGCGGCAUCCUGGACCGAUACUGACGCUGAGGAGCGAAAGCCAGGGGAGCAAACAGG